AACGAACGCUGGCGGCGCGCCUAAUACACGCAAGUCGAGCGAGAAGACGUAGCAAUACGUUUGUAAAGCGGCGAACGGGUGAGGAAUACAUGGGUAACCUACCCUCGAGUGGGGAAUAACUAGCCGAAAGGUUAGCUAAUACCGCGUACGCUCCUUGGACUUCGGUUCAGGGAGGAAAGCGAUACCGUGGGUAUCGCGCUCUUGGAUGGGCUCAUGUCCUAUCAGCUUGUUGGUGAGGAACGGCUCACCAAGGCUUCGACGGGUAGCUGGUCUGAGAGGACGAUCAGCCACACUGGCACUGCGACACGGGCCAGACUCCUACGGGAGGCAGCAGUAAGGAAUAUUGCGCAAUGGGCGAAAGCCUGACGCAGCGACGCCGCGUGGGGGA
This 388-nucleotide ribosomal RNA is filed under the name uncultured bacterium. RNAcentral's name for it is "bacterial SSU rRNA". It matches the Rfam family "Bacterial small subunit ribosomal RNA", at positions 29 to 408 of the family's 1533-position model. The record is from RNAcentral.